Molecule: ribosomal RNA, 298 nt
Filed under: uncultured bacterium
Lineage: Bacteria
Description: partial 16S ribosomal RNA
Rfam family: Bacterial small subunit ribosomal RNA
Source: RNAcentral
GGAUUAGAUACCCUGGUAGUCCACGCCGUAAACGAUGUCAACUAGCCGUUGGGUUCAUUAUUUGAAGAAUUUGGUGGCGUAGCUAACGCGAUAAGUUGACCGCCUGGGGAGUACGGCCGCAAGGUUAAAACUCAAAGGAAUUGACGGGGGCCCGCACAAGCGGUGGAGCAUGUGGUUUAAUUCGAUGCAGCGCGAAGAACCUUACCAGCUCUUGACAUCUCCGGAACUUUCUAGAGAUAGAAAGGUGCCUUCGGGAACCGGAUGACAGGUGCUGCAUGGCUGUCGUCAGCUCGUGUCG